GUAGGUGGCAAGCGUUGUCCGGAAUUAUUGGGCGUAAAGCGCGCGCAGGCGGUCCUUUAAGUCUGAUGUGAAAGCCCACGGCUCAACCGUGGAGGGUCAUUGGAAACUGGGGGACUUGAGUACAGAAGAGGAAAGCGGAAUUCCAAGUGUAGCGGUGAAAUGCGUAGAGAUUUGGAGGAACACCAGUGGCGAAGGCGGCUUUCUGGUCUGUAACUGACGCUGAGGCGCGAAAGCGUGGGGAGCAAACAGGAUUAGAUACCCUGGUAGUCCACGCCGUAAACGAUGAGUGCUAAGUGUUAGGGGGUUUCCCGCCCCCCCUAGUGCUGCAGCUAACGCAUUAAGCACUCCGCCUGGGGAGUACGGCCGCAAGGCUG
RNAcentral lists this ribosomal RNA (374 nucleotides) under uncultured organism. RNAcentral's name for it is "partial 16S ribosomal RNA". It matches the Rfam family "Bacterial small subunit ribosomal RNA", at positions 527 to 896 of the family's 1533-position model. The record is from RNAcentral.